RNAcentral lists this long non-coding RNA (514 nucleotides) under Hordeum vulgare. RNAcentral's name for it is "long non-coding RNA (HVUL_LNC016276)". Lineage: Eukaryota; Viridiplantae; Streptophyta; Magnoliopsida; Poales; Poaceae. The record is from RNAcentral.
UUUUAUAAAAGCAGGGCAGAUAUGCCUUUCUCUAAAAAAAUGUGUACAUUGUAUCCUUGCUUUAUAUCAGUGAAGUUUUUUGUUAGCUUUAAAACUGUAUACAUCGAUUCCUAAUUGGAUGCAAGUAUACAACGUGAAUGGAAGUUCACGACUUGUUUUAUGUGAUUUUGCUCGGGUCUUGGAAGAAUCAGGCUAAGGAGUGAUUGUAGUGACAACUGAAUGGUGAUGAAGCAAAGUUUGGUAGGUUGCAAAUGCAGGUUAUUUUCAAAUCUGAAACUUCAUUUUGUACAAUGCUAAUAAGACCUGGACAAUUUUAAGUAGCAUAUGAGUCCAAACAAUCUUGGCCUCACCAUAGAUUCGUGGGGAGAACUCUUUUGCUUCUAGAGAAUUGAGUUGGUGAUGUUUAUGAUUGGUAAUUGCUAAGGGUCAUUGUUCCCAAAUUUGCAUUGAAGAAUUAGUCAUUUGCAGUUAUUUAUGUAACCAUAGCCAUCUUUAUUUUUCUGAUCAUCUUUCU